Molecule: ribosomal RNA, 468 nt
Filed under: uncultured bacterium
Lineage: Bacteria
Description: partial 16S ribosomal RNA
Rfam family: Bacterial small subunit ribosomal RNA
Source: RNAcentral
GACGAACGCUGGCGGCGUGCUUAACACAUGCAAGUCGAACGGAAAGGCCCUGCUUUUGUGGGGUGCUCGAGGGGCGAACGGGUGAGUAACACGUGAGUAACCUGCCCCUGACUUUGGGAUAACUUCAGGAAACUGGGGCUAAUACCGGCUAGGAGCUCCUGCUGCUUGGUGGGGGCUGGAAAGUUUCGGCGGUUGGGGUUGGACUCGCCGCUUAUCAGCUUGUUGGUGGGGUAGUGGCUUACCAAGGCUUUGACGGGUAGCCGGCCUGGGAGGGUGACCGGCCACGUUGGGACUGAGCUGCGGCCCAGACUCCUACGGGAGGCAGCGGUGGGGAAUAUUGCACAAUGCGCGGGGGCCUGAUGCAGCAACGCCGCGUGCGGGAUGACGGCCUUCGGGUUGUGUACCGCUUUCGCCUGUGACGAAGCGUUAGUGACGGUAAUGGGUAAAUAAGCACCGGCUAACUACGUG